Molecule: transfer RNA, 80 nt
Filed under: Actinobacillus pleuropneumoniae serovar 3 str. JL03
Lineage: Bacteria; Pseudomonadati; Pseudomonadota; Gammaproteobacteria; Pasteurellales; Pasteurellaceae
Description: tRNA-Arg
Rfam family: tRNA
About the family: Transfer RNA (tRNA) molecules are approximately 80 nucleotides in length.
Source: RNAcentral
GCGCCCUUAGCUCAGCUGGAUAGAGCAACGCCCUUCUAAGGCGUGGGUCAAAGGUUCGAAUCCUUUAGGGCGUGCCAUUU